UAGCUCAGUGGUGGAAUUCUUGCCUUCCAUGCAAGAGACCUGGGUUCAACUCCCAG
RNAcentral lists this transfer RNA (56 nucleotides) under Loxodonta africana (African savanna elephant). It matches the Rfam family "tRNA", at positions 8 to 63 of the family's 71-position model. From Rfam's summary of the family: Transfer RNA (tRNA) molecules are approximately 80 nucleotides in length. Their secondary structure includes four short double-helical elements and three loops (D, anti-codon, and T loops). The record is from Rfam by way of RNAcentral. Lineage: Eukaryota; Metazoa; Chordata; Mammalia; Proboscidea; Elephantidae.